Molecule: ribosomal RNA, 305 nt
Filed under: uncultured bacterium
Lineage: Bacteria
Description: bacterial SSU rRNA
Rfam family: Bacterial small subunit ribosomal RNA
Source: RNAcentral
CCUACGGGGCGCAGCAGUGAGGAAUAUUGGUCAAUGGGCGAGAGCCUGAACCAGCCAAGUCGCGUGAAGGAUGACGGCCCUACGGGUUGUAAACUUCUUUUGUCAGGGAGCAAUUGAGUCCACGUGUGGGCUUAGCGAGGGUACCUGAAGAAAAAGCAUCGGCUAACUACGUGCCAGCAGCCGCGGUAAUACGUAGGUGGCAAGCGUUAUCCGGAUUUACUGGGUGUAAAGGGCGUGUAGGCGGGGGUGCAAGUCAGAUGUGAAAACUAUGGGCUCAACCCAUAGCCUGCAUUUGAAACUGUACU